GCACAAGCAGCGGAGCGUGUGGUUUAAUUCGUUGCUACACGAAGAACCUUACCUGGGUUUGACAUAGCAGUGGUAGGGAAGAGAAAUCGGACCGACCCUUCGGGGAGCUGUUACAGGUGUUGCAUGGCUGUCGUCAGCUCGUGUCGUGAGAUGUUCGGUUAAGUCCGCUAACGAGCGCAACCCGCGUUGUGUGUUAUAUGUGUCACACAAUACCGCCGGUAUUAAGCCGGAGGAAGGUGCGGAUGACGUCAAAUCAUCAUGCCCCUUAUGUUCUGGGCUACACACGUGCUACAAUGGCCGGUACAGACGGACGCAAAGCCGCGAGGUGGAGCAAAUCCUAAAAAGCCGGUCUCAGUUCGGAUUGCAGGCUGCAAUUCGCCUGCAUGAAGUCGGAAUCGCUAGUAAUCGCAGGUCAGCAUACUGCGGUGAAUACGUUCCCGGGCCUU
This 446-nucleotide ribosomal RNA is filed under the name uncultured Anaerolineaceae bacterium. RNAcentral's name for it is "bacterial SSU rRNA". It matches the Rfam family "Bacterial small subunit ribosomal RNA", at positions 923 to 1382 of the family's 1533-position model. The record is from RNAcentral. Lineage: Bacteria; Bacillati; Chloroflexota; Anaerolineae; Anaerolineales; Anaerolineaceae.